GUUGGAAGAAAGGUAAUCGCCAUAAGUUUUUACUUGUGGAGGAAAGUCUGGACUUUACAGGAUGGGAUACCAGUGAAAGACUGGGGGCCGCAAGGCUACGGAAAGUGCAACAGAAACUAUACCGCUAAUAUUUCUCUAAGGGGAAAUUUUAGACAGGCUGAAACGGUGGGCUUUAUGAGUCCACUUGAUCUACCGAGAGGUAGGCAAUUGUAAACCCUAUCCAAAGCAAGAUAUCUCACUCGAUCUAAUAUAAGGCUCCAUCCGGCCCUAGAUCACCGAGAAUAAAAUCGCUCGAGGUUGAAAGCAAUUUCAAUCCUAGAUGAAUGAUUACCCGCUAGCUUUUAGCAGCGACAAAAUCCGGCUUAUUGACUUCAAUUUUAG
Molecule: RNase P RNA, 381 nt
Filed under: Candidatus Amphrikana amoebophyrae
Lineage: Bacteria; Pseudomonadati; Chlamydiota; Chlamydiia; Parachlamydiales; Simkaniaceae
Description: RNase P RNA component class A
Rfam family: Bacterial RNase P class A
About the family: Ribonuclease P (RNase P) is a ubiquitous endoribonuclease, found in archaea, bacteria and eukarya as well as chloroplasts and mitochondria. Its best characterised activity is the generation of mature 5'-ends of tRNAs by cleaving the 5'-leader elements of precursor-tRNAs.
Source: RNAcentral